CCUACGGGCGGCAGCAGUGAGGAAUAUUGGUCAAUGGACGCAAGUCUGAACCAGCCAUGCCGCGUGCAGGAAGACGGCUCUAUGAGUUGUAAACUGCUUUUGUACGAGGGUAAACGCAGAUACGCGGAUCUGUCUGAAAGUAUCGUACGAAUAAGGAUCGGCUAACUCCGUGCCAGCAGCCGCGGUAAUACGGAGGAUUCAAGCGUUAUCCGGAUUUAUUGGGUUUAAAGGGUGCGUAGGCGGUCGGAUAAGUUAGAGGUGAAAUCCCGCGGCUCAACUUCGGAAUUGCCUCUGAUACUGUUCGGCUAGCGUGUAGUUGCGGUAGGCUGAAUGUCUGGUGUAGCGGU
This 347-nucleotide ribosomal RNA is filed under the name uncultured bacterium. RNAcentral describes it as "partial 16S ribosomal RNA". It matches the Rfam family "Bacterial small subunit ribosomal RNA", at positions 338 to 682 of the family's 1533-position model. The record is from RNAcentral.